RNAcentral lists this ribosomal RNA (293 nucleotides) under Nostoc sp. HG1. RNAcentral describes it as "partial 16S ribosomal RNA". It matches the Rfam family "Bacterial small subunit ribosomal RNA", at positions 1170 to 1457 of the family's 1533-position model. The record is from RNAcentral. Lineage: Bacteria; Bacillati; Cyanobacteriota; Cyanophyceae; Nostocales; Nostocaceae.
AAGGUGGGGACGACGUCAAGUCAUCAUGGUCCUUACGUCUGGGGCUACACACGUGCUACAAUGGGCAGGCUAAAGGGUCGCGAACGCGCAAGCGGGAGCCAAUCCCCAAAACUGCCCUCAGUUCGGAUUGUCGUCUGCAACUCGACGGCAUGAAGCUGGAAUCGCUAGUAAUCGUAGAUCAGCUACGCUACGGUGAAUACGUUCCCGGGCCUUGUACACACCGCCCGUCUACACCAUGGGAGUUGGCCACGCCCGAAGUCGUUCACUCCAACCCGUUCGCGGAGGAGGAUGCC